CUUGAUCCAAGCCUCCUUUUCUUCCUCUUUCUCGAUGUCUCCACUGUGCUGUGAGUAAUGCAAAGAAGCCAAAACCUCUCACACUCUGCUUUGCAAUAAGGUUGGCAUACAAAUGCUUUCUUCAACCUUAGCUCGGCGCCUAAAUCCCACUCAAAUCCUCCUUAAUUUCACUGCUCGCUCUCUGUUAACAAAGCCCACUUCAUAUUUCCCGUCCGCAACUCCAGAAUCCCAACUAAACCUUCAAAAUUUCGAUCCCAGCACCGUUAUCGAAACCCUCUCAUGCUACAGCAACGACUGGAAACGUGCCUUGGAUUUUUUCAACUGGGUCGAAACCGAAUGCGAAUUUAAACACACUACAGACACGUACAAUCGCAUGAUUGACAUUUUGGGUAAGUUCUUCGAAUUCGAUCUCUCAUGGGACUUGAUUCUAAGAAUGAGAACGGUUCCUUGUUCAAUGCCCAAUCAUGUCACUUUCCGUAUAUUGUUUAAGCGCUAUAUAUCUGCCCAUCUCGUUACAGAAGCUAUAAAUACGUUUGAUAGAUUAGAGGAAUUCAAUUUGAAAGAUGGAACAUCAUAUUGUAAUCUUAUUGAUGCUCUUUGUGAGUUUAAACAUGUUAUAGAAGCACAAGAAUUGUGCUUUAGAAAGAACAUGGAAGAAAAUAAUGCAAUAGAUGCUAGGAAUAAAACGAAAAUUUAUAAUAUGAUUUUACGCGGUUGGUUUAAGAUGGAGUGGUGGAGUAAGUGCAGGGAGUUUUGGGAGGAGAUGGAUAGAAAAGGAGUGUAUAAAGAUUUGUAUUCCCAUUCGAUAUAUAUGGAUAUACUGUGCAAAAGUGGAAAGCCUUGGAAGGCAGUGAAAUUGUAUAAGGAGAUGAAGACAAAGGGAAUAAAGCUAGAUGUUGUGGCAUAUAAUACAGUUAUUCGUGCAGUUGGUCUAUCACGGGGUGUGGAUUUUGCAACGAGGGUGUAUCGUGAAAUGAUUGAGUUGGGUUGUAUGCCAAAUGUCGUGACUUGUAAUACUAUUAUAAAGCUUUUGUGCCAAAAUGGGAGGACAAUGGAAGCAUAUAAAAUGCUUGAUGAAAUGCUCAAGAAAGAUAUUGUACCGGAUGUGAUUACAUAUCAUUGUUUUUUUCGUUGUCUUGUGAAGCCCAAUGAGAUUCUCUGGCUGUUUGACUGGAUGAUUGAGAGUGGGGUUUGGCCAAGGAUGGACACUUAUGUGAUGCUUAUGAGGAAGUUUGGGAGAUGGGGAUUUCUCCGACCAGUUUUUGUAGUGUGGAAGAAGAUGGAAGAACAUGCUUGUAGUCCGGAUGAAUUUGCUUACAAUGCAUUGAUUGAUGCUUUGAUUCAAAAGGGUAUGUUGGACAUGGCUAGGAAAUAUGAGCAGGAGAUGCUGUCGAAAGGUCUUUCUCCUAAGCCCAGGGAAGACUUAAGCACAAAGGAUGUGGAGGGAGGAUAACUUUUCAAACGCAUAUGCAGAAUCAUCCUUCGCGGAAGAGUUUGCUGCAAUAGAGGUCUCAAAAUGGAUUGCUUGCUUUCCAGUUAGAACCAGGGGCUGGCAUGAUCUAUUGUUAUGCUCUUGGACUUCUUGCUGCAGACAAGUAUGGUGGAGAUGGCACGGCUUUCUGGAAAUAUCCCGGCUGGAGUGCAGUUCUCUACCUGAUUUUGUUCUAGGUUUUGAGCUGUGAUGUGUUCUGAAGUAUCUUCACUUCCUUAUCACAACAUUUGACUUGCACUUAUUAUAUCCCUAUAACAUGAUGCUGUCAAUUGUUGCAUUUAGCUGGCAAAGAACAAGGUGGUGGAUUUCAGGCUUUCAGCUGAGGAGGCAAUGGUAUUGAAGAAGCAAAAUAUGGUUUUUACUGAUGUUCAUAUCCAUCCUGCUUGGAUUAAUUUCACUCCUUUUCUCUUUCACCUAUUUUAUACCUGAGGAAUUUGUCAUGGGUACAAGUGGCCUCAACUGGAAAUAAUAAUAUCUGGCCUUUGUGGAAUUCAAGAGUCUAAAUUUGGUAGACUGAUAUGAUAUUGAUGUUUGAAUUCGGAAGUGCAAAGUUAAUCAACACUUAGCAGUUCCCUGAAACUGCUGGUGCUAUUUCCUCUAUCAGGGUUUGAUUCUGAUGUUGGUUGACUCAGUGAAUCAUUACAACCCGAUGCAGAGAUAGAUAAUGAAGUAGAACCCAUGUAGUGUUGAGAAGCUCAAAUACAUUUUCAUCCCCAAUACUAUCUUCAUUCAACUUGCGCCAUGGAGCAGUGAAUUCAGCGGCAUCUAUAUCACGAAGAGCUUCAAAUGUUACUGGCUUAGAUAUCUUCUCAGUUCACUCUACUUGCAGAGAACAAACACCAAGGGCUUCUCCUUUUGAGUUUUUAAUUCAUCAACUUGAAGCAGCAGUAGUUUCGGUUAGCUAUUUUUCAUAUCUUGUUUGAAAAAUGUCUGUUUUGAUGCUUGCAACCAUUUAAUUAGUUCUGAAUUUAUUGAUUAUUUGACCUAUUUGGCAAAAUUACAAUACAAGGGUAUGCCAGAUGUGAU
RNAcentral lists this unclassified non-coding RNA (2518 nucleotides) under Hevea brasiliensis (rubber tree). The record is from RNAcentral. Lineage: Eukaryota; Viridiplantae; Streptophyta; Magnoliopsida; Malpighiales; Euphorbiaceae.